GACGAACGCUGGCGGCGUGCUUAACACAUGCAAGUCGAACGGAAAGGCCCUGCUUGCAGGGUACUCGAGUGGCGAACGGGUGAGUAACACGUGGGUGAUCUGCCCUGCACUUCGGGAUAAGCCUGGGAAACUGGGUCUAAUACCGGAUAGGAGCCAUUUUUAGUGUGAUGGUUGGAAAGUUUUUUCGGUGUAGGAUGAGCUCGCGGCCUAUCAGCUUGGUGGUGGGGUAAUGGCCUACCAAGGCGGCGACGGGUAGCCGGCCUGAGAGGGUGGACGGCCACAUUGGGACUGAGAUACGGGCCAGACUCCUACGGGAGGCAGCAGGGGGGAAUAUUGCACAAUGGGCGCAAGCCUGAUGCAGCGACGCCGCGGGGGGGAUGACGGGCUUCGGGUUGGAAACUCCUUUCGCUAGGGACGAAGCUUUUUGUGACGGUACCUAGAUAAGAAGCACCGGCUAACUACGUG
Molecule: ribosomal RNA, 465 nt
Filed under: uncultured bacterium
Lineage: Bacteria
Description: partial 16S ribosomal RNA
Rfam family: Bacterial small subunit ribosomal RNA
Source: RNAcentral